RNAcentral lists this ribosomal RNA (984 nucleotides) under human gut metagenome. RNAcentral describes it as "bacterial LSU rRNA". It matches the Rfam family "Bacterial large subunit ribosomal RNA", at positions 1945 to 2925 of the family's 2925-position model. The record is from RNAcentral.
ACGGUCCUAAGGUAGCGAAAUUCCUUGUCAGGUAAGUUCUGACCCGCACGAAAGGUGUAACGAUCUGGGCACUGUCUCAACAACCCGCCCGGCGAAAUUGUAGUACCGGUGAAGAUGCCGGUUACCCGCGACUAGACGGAAAGACCCCAUGGAGCUUUACUGUAGCCUAAUAUUGGAUUUCGGUAUUUCACGUACAGGAUAGGUGGGAGACUGGGAAGCACAGGCGUCAGCUUGUGUGGAGUCGACCUUGGGAUACCACUCUUGGAGUGCUGGAAUUCUAACCUGCGGCUUUGAAGCAAGUCGGGGGACAUUGUUAGGUGGGCAGUUUGACUGGGGCGGUCGCCUCCUAAAGAGUAACGGAGGCGCUCAAAGGUUCGCUCUGCAUGGAUGGAAACCAUGCGUCAGAGUGUAAACGCAAAAGCGAGCCUAACUGCGAGAAUGACGGUUCGAGCAGUAACGAAAGUUGGAGUUAGUGAUCCGGCGGUAUGUGAAUGGAAAUGCCGUCGCUCAACGGAUAAAAGCUACCCUGGGGAUAACAGGCUGAUCUCCCCCAAGAGUCCACAUCGACGGGGAGGUUUGGCACCUCGAUGUCGGCUCAUCGCAUCCUGGGGCUGAAUUCGGUCCCAAGGGUUUGGCUGUUCGCCAAUUAAAGCGGUACGCGAGCUGGGUUCAGAACGUCGUGAGACAGUUCGGUCCCUAUCUGUCGUGGGCGUAGGAUAUUUGCAAGGAGCUGUCCCUAGUACGAGAGGACCGGGAUGGACGCACCUCUGGUGCACCAGUUGUCACGCCAGUGGCACAGCUGGGCAGCUAUGUGCGGAACGGAUAAACGCUGAAGGCAUCUAAGCGUGAAGCCGCCCUUAAGAUAAGAUAUCCCUUCUGUUUACAGAGUAAGACCCCUUGAAGACUACAAGGUUGAUAGGCUCAAAGUGUAAGCACGGUGACGUGUUUAGCUAGCGAGUACUAAUCGGUCGAGGGCUUAACCUU